UAGCCGUAAACGAUACUCGCUAGGUGUCGGCCACGGUGCGACCGUUGUCGGUGCCGUAGGGAAGCCGUGAAGCGAGCCACCUGGGAAGUACGGCCGCAAGGCUGAAACUUAAAGGAAUUGGCGGGGGAGCACCACAACGGGUGGAGCUUGCGGUUAAUUGGAUUCAACGCCGGAAAUCUUUACCGGGACCGACAGCAACAUGAAGGCCAGGCUGAAGACUUUGCCGGAUUAGCUGAGAGGAGGUGCAUGGCGUCAGUGACU
RNAcentral lists this ribosomal RNA (261 nucleotides) under uncultured archaeon. Its description in RNAcentral is "partial 16S ribosomal RNA". It matches the Rfam family "Archaeal small subunit ribosomal RNA", at positions 748 to 1008 of the family's 1478-position model. The record is from RNAcentral.